Molecule: ribosomal RNA, 425 nt
Filed under: uncultured bacterium
Lineage: Bacteria
Description: bacterial SSU rRNA
Rfam family: Bacterial small subunit ribosomal RNA
Source: RNAcentral
GAAUAUUGGACAAUGGGCGAAAGCCUGAUCCAGCAAUGCCGCGUGUGUGAAGAAGGCCUGCGGGUUGUAAAGCACUUUCAGUAGAGAAGAAAAGCCUACGGUUAAUAACCGUGAGUCUUGACGUAACCUACAGAAGAAGCACCGGCUAACUCCGUGCCAGCAGCCGCGGUAAUACGGAGGGUGCAAGCGUUAAUCGGAAUUACUGGGCGUAAAGCGUACGUAGGCGGCUUAUUAAGCAAGAUGUGAAAGCCCCGGGCUCAACCUGGGAAUUGCAUUUUGAACUGGUAGGCUCGAGUUUUGAAGAGGGUGGUAGAAUUUCCAGUGUAGCGGUGAAAUGCGUAGAUAUUGGAAGGAAUACCAGUGGCGAAGGCGGCCACCUGGUCAAAAACUGACGCUGAGGUACGAAAGCGUGGGGAGCAAACAGG